RNAcentral lists this transfer RNA (73 nucleotides) under Camelus ferus (Wild Bactrian camel). It matches the Rfam family "tRNA". From Rfam's summary of the family: Transfer RNA (tRNA) molecules are approximately 80 nucleotides in length. Their secondary structure includes four short double-helical elements and three loops (D, anti-codon, and T loops). The record is from Rfam by way of RNAcentral. Lineage: Eukaryota; Metazoa; Chordata; Mammalia; Artiodactyla; Camelidae.
AGGGGUGUAGCUCAAGUGGUAGAGCACAUGCUUAGCAUGCAUGAGGUCCUGGGUUCAAUCGCCAGGACCUCCU